Molecule: ribosomal RNA, 460 nt
Filed under: uncultured bacterium
Lineage: Bacteria
Description: partial 16S ribosomal RNA
Rfam family: Bacterial small subunit ribosomal RNA
Source: RNAcentral
CCUACGGGAGGCAGCAGUGAGGAAUAUUGGUCAAUGGGCGCUAGCCUGAACCAGCCAAGUAGCGUGAAGGAUGACUGCCCUCUGGGUUGUAAACUUCUUUUAUAUGGGAAUAAAGUGCAGUAUGUAUACUGCUUUCCAUGUACCUUAUGAAUAAGGAUCGGCUAACUCCGUGCCAGCAGCCGCGGUAAUACGGAGGAUCCGAGCGUUAUCCGGAUUUAUUGGGUUUAAAGGGAGCGUAGGCGGGUGGUUAAGUCAGGUGUGAAAGUGUGCGGCUCAACCGUAAAAUUGCAGUUGAUACUGGAAACCUUGAGUACAGUAGAGGUAGGCGGAAUUCGUGGUGGAGCGGUGAAAUGCUUAGAUAUCACGAAGAACUCCGAUUGCGAAGGCAGCCUGCUGGACUGUAACUGACGCUGAGGCUCGAAAGUGUGGGGAUCAAACAGGAUUAGAUACCCUUGUAGUC